Molecule: ribosomal RNA, 254 nt
Filed under: uncultured bacterium
Lineage: Bacteria
Description: partial 16S ribosomal RNA
Rfam family: Bacterial small subunit ribosomal RNA
Source: RNAcentral
UACGUAGGGUCCGAGCGUUGUUCGGAUUUAUUGGGCGUAAAGAGCUCGUAGGCGGUUUCGUAAGUCGGAUGUGAAAACUCAGGGCUCAACCCGGAGACGCCAUCCGAUACUGCGAUGACUGGAGUCUGGUAGGGGAUCACGGAAUACCUGGUGUAGCGGUGAAAUGCGCAGAUAUCAGGUGGAACACCGAUGGCGAAGGCAGUGAUCUGGGCCAGUACUGACGCUGAGGAGCGAAAGCGUGGGGAGCAAACAGG